Molecule: ribosomal RNA, 497 nt
Filed under: uncultured bacterium
Lineage: Bacteria
Description: partial 16S ribosomal RNA
Rfam family: Bacterial small subunit ribosomal RNA
Source: RNAcentral
GAUGAACGCUGGCGGCGUGCCUAAUACAUGCGAGUCGAGCGAACAGACGAGGAGCUUGCUCCUCUGACGUUAGCGGCGGACGGGUGAGUAACACGUGGAUAACCUACCUAUAAGACUGGGAUAACUUCGGGAAACCGGAGCUAAUACCGGAUAAUAUAUUGAACCGCAUGGUUCAAUAGUGAAAGACGGUUUUGCUGUCACUUAUAGAUGGAUCCGCGCCGCAUUAGCUAGUUGGUAAGGUAACGGCUUACCAAGGCAACGAUGCGUAGCCGACCUGAGAGGGUGAUCGGCCACACUGGAACUGACACACGGUCCAGACUCCUACGGGAGGCAGCAGUAGGGAAUCUUCCGCAAUGGGCGAAAGCCUGACGGAGCAACGCCGCGUGAGUGAUGAAGGUCUUCGGAUCGUAAAACUCUGUUAUUAGGGAAGAACAAAUGUGUAAGUAACUAUGCACGUCUUGACGGUACCUAAUCAGAAAGCCACGGCUAACUACGUG